Long non-coding RNA from Pezoporus flaviventris, 2830 nucleotides. RefSeq lists it as uncharacterized. Lineage: Eukaryota; Metazoa; Chordata; Aves; Psittaciformes; Psittacidae. The record is from RefSeq and is a predicted model, not a curated record. The transcript has 3 exons.
UCUUCCAUUUCUGAAGCUCCUCCUGCAUCUUAUCGAUUUUGGCUGGAUUCAGAGCCCACAAACAGCCUUUCCGAGAAGAAUUGCCUGACUUGUUUUCAACUUUCUCAAAGCAUUUGUUCAAAGAUAAGUUGUGACGUACAGAAUUCUUCCAGCCGUCCGGAGCUGUCUGGAAAAACAAAUCCAGUCUAAGAAUGGAACUUCAAGGAAAAAAUACAAAUAUAUUUCUCUAUUUUGACUGGUUAGAGUAUACUUUCUACAAAAUGAAACUGGUACCAUAGAAGGAAGCCACAAAAAUGUUACAGUCGUGUGGUGUGGGAAGAGGAAUCAGAUAACAUAGUAACUGAUCUUCUAAGCAAAAGGUUGGCCUUGUCAGAGGGGCUACUGUAUGUUUGAAUUUGCAAAUUACAAGAAUUAAAUGUGUUAAAGAAUUAUAUUCCAGAACUGUGAACUAACAGGAAAUCUUUUAAUCCCUUUUAGCACACCUAGAAAUAUUUCAAACACUUAGUUGAAGGGCUGCGUGCCACUUGGAUUCAAAUGAGUUGUCCAGGCAGACUUCAAAAGCAUUUUGGCAUGCUGCUGGAGGUGUAGCCAAUUACAUAACCACAUGGUUUAAGCAAAAGCCCAGUGGAUGAGAUACAGAAAAUCCUCAGCUGUGUGUCAUAAGAGCUAAAAAAAAAAAAUCAAACAGCUCUCUGAAAGUGUAUGCAAGUGAUGAAGUUGCCCAAGACUGAUAUUCCAGGCCCAGAACAGAGCCAGAUAACCUUGAGCCUCUGCUUCCACAUGAGUCUGGAGGUGCUACUGGUGGCAAAGGAAGCCACAAGACCAGUUCUGCCUGUAUUUGAGAUCAGAGAGGAGGGAAUGGAUAUGUUUUUAAAAGUAUUUAUCCUUUUGGUGAGUUGUUGGUGAGGAACAGCCACUGUUAUCUGCACAAACUCAAAGUCAGAACAGUUCUUAAUAUCUUUCUGUGUUAAAUAUUGCCACAUAUCAUGUUCAUGUUUCUGCCUAGGCCUUAGAUGCUGGGUGGUUUGUGAUCAUGAAGGUAUAUAGUGUGUAAUUGAUUUGAUAUUAAUCUACCUAAGAAAUGAUCCCUUUUCAUAGAUCGAGUUCCCCUCUUUAUUCCCUCUGCUGCCAGGUAAGCUGAGAGAGAGACUUCCCCCCCAUCCCCUUGGCACUCACCUUAAAGUAAGGGAAGUGUUCCGUCAUGAAAUUGUAAAUCUCACUGACUGGCAAACUCCCUGUCUUGCUGUUUUUGAGUGCCAUGAAGAUCAGGAUGCUUCAGAGAGAGAAAGAAAAAAAAUUUAGCUUAUUCUGCUCCUCAGAAGCAGAAAAUGAGUGUUUUUUCAAUGUAUGUAAUUACUGUGACUUGCACUGCCUGAGCAUGAACACUGAUGAUACUCAAAGUUUCCACCCAGUUGUUUACAAUCGGUCUCCUUACACUGCUUAACUUCUGGAGGUAAUUCUGAAAGCACACAUAGAAGGUCCAGCCAGGGCUUAAAAUAAAGUAAUACAAACUGGAAUCAAGUCCACAGCCUUCAAAUUCUACUAAUGUGUUUUUAUUUAAGGCUGUGUUUGAAUGAUAAAGGCCCCAAGAAGAGUGUCAAAAUGACAGUGAAAGAAGGUACAAUUAAAAUGCAAUUGUCUGGUCUACUGUGUUAAGCUGCUCUCUGGGGGCUAAACCUGUGUGGUGACUGGCAUAUCUGAUAUGGUUUUUAGGCAUUUCUUUGCCAUAAUAACUGGAGAAAAAACAUCAGAUUUAAUACAGGUCCUGGAGAAGACAACUACAGGUAAUUAGUCUUGUGCUGAUGAAAUUUGCAGCACCUAAGGUUUUAUACUGGAGAAACAUCUAGCUGUUGUGGGGUGAUCAAAACUGUUCACAAGCUUUACAACAUUGCAUUUCCCUCUGCCUUGGCCCCUGAGUCUGGAACAUGUUGUGAUUCAUACAAACAGGACAGAGCACACUGGGAGCAAGACAAAUAAGAAUAAGCAUGUUGUUGCAAAUGAUGCUGGAAAUAGGCCAUGGGUAAACAGUGUAUUUCCUGUAACAUUAGAACCUGAGAAAGUAUGUUAUUACCUGUAGGAGUAGAUGGGUUUGGGAAACAGAGGCUGCUGGGAUUCUUGACUGCUUUGAGGAGCGAUUCGUUGGUAGGGGUAGUGCGAAGAAGUAAUGUAAGUCACAGGAUAGCUGCCUCCCGAGGAAUACUGGUGGUAGAAUAAAAGAAAUGUUACUUGACCUCUCAACAAGCUUUCAAAAAUACUUAUUUCUUAAUAACAUUAUUAAGCUAGCUCUGAGGAUGUUGCUUUCUGCCUAUGUUUCAUACCUGUUUUGCCAACCCAGAUGUAGUCUUUCUAGCAUGGUAUGGAAGACAUUAAUAUUACUUGUUAAUACCCAAAAAGUAGAAGAAACAGGGCAUGGAUGAGGAGGAGCUCACUGAUACGUUGACUGUUACCAGAUGCUGUUUAGUGUGUUCCAAAUUGAAGGAUGUAAAAAAAGUACUUUCUUAUUGCCUGUUAUGCUACUGAGUUCUUGUGAAAAAUGGGACUAACUGAACCCUAGUAAUUGUCUCCAGAAAAUUCAUAACAGCAUCCCAAAGCAUCUGUUCAAAUUGCUGUUACCAGGUGAAGAAGUAAAAAACCCCAAAACAACAACCACCAAAGCUGUAGUGGAUGUGUAUACAAAGUGGGUAUGCUAUUCUAGAAUAAGUUAGUAGUGUCAUUCCAAGGGACAGACAAGUGGCAUAUGAGGUGUUUCUCAGAGGUGGUUUUCAUAUUGCCUACCUUGCGAGGCUGUGAGGCUACUGUCAUAGUCAGUGGCAAGAAACAGGCUUCUGGA